UUUUUUUUUUUUUUUUGCCACGCCCAUGGCAUGUCCAAGUUCCUGGGCCAGGCUUCUAAGUGCACCACAGCAGUGACAAUGCUAAAUCUUUAACCCAUAAGCCACUAGGGAACUUCAAGAUGGCUGGGCGAUUUUAUCAGAGUUUUUAGGUGUUUUGGGGAUAUGAGGAAUUGAAGGAGUAGAAUACGUAAGAAUGAGAUAAUUGUAUUCAUGUGUGUUUCUGCUUAGAUCUGUCCUAAUUUCCACUUCUGUGUCUCAGCUCCAGUCAGCAUCUUACCCCCUUGGCAAGAAAAGCCCACUUCAUCUCACCUGCCUCUUGAUUCUCAGCUACCACUGGUGAUUUCUGGUUGGUUGUUUUUGUUUUUUAAUGGCCCCCAGAGCCCUUACUUAGUAGCUUCUCUCUGGACUGUUUAAUUAAUUUCCCUCAACAAAACUCCAUCACACAUAACUUUUGGGGGCACACAAAUUCCUCUUCCUCCUUCUGCCCCCCACUUUUGAAUAUUUUUUUUCCAAAAUUUCCUCUUUAUUUUUCCUUUAUUUUAUUUUAUUUUUAGCUUUUUUUAUUACUCAAAUAAAUUUAUCACAUCUGUAGUUGUAUAAUGAUCAUAACAAUCUAAUUUCACAGGAUUUCCAUCCCACAGCCCAGGCCCCCCACCCCCCAAACUGUGUCCUCCAGAGACCAUAAAUUUUUCAAUGUCUGUGAGUCAGCAUCUGUCCUGCAAAGAAGUUCAGUCUGUCCUUUUUUCAGAUUCCCCAUGUCAGUGAAAGCAUUUGAUGUUGGUGUCUUGUUGUAUGGCUGACUUCGCUUAGCAUGGUAGUUUCUAGGUCCAUCCAUGUUGCUAAAAAUGAUGGUAUUUCAUUCUUUUUAAUGGCUGAGUAAUAUUCCAUUGUGUAUAUGUACCACAUCUUCUGGAUCCACUCCUCUGUCGAUGGACAUUUAGGUUGUUUCCACAUCUUGGCUAUUGUAAAUAGUGCUGCAGUGAACAUCAGAGUACAUGUGUCUUUGCGAGUCAUGGUUUUCUCUGGAUAGAUGCCCAGGAGUGGGAUUGCUGGAUCGAAUGGUAGUUCUAUGUUUAGUUUUCUGAGGCAUCUCCCUCCUGUUUUCCACAGUGGUUGCACCCAUUUACAAUCCCACCAACAGUGUACUAGGGUUCCUUUUUCUCCACACCCUCUCCAGCACUUAUUGUUUGUAGACUUUUGGAUGAUGGCCAUUCUGGCUGGUGUAAGGUGGUACCUCAUCGUGGUUUUGAUUUGCGUUUCUCUAAUAAUGUGUGAUGUUGAACAUCUUUUCAUGUGUUUCUCAGCCAUCUGUAUGUCUUCUUUGGAGAUCUGUCUGUUUAGAUCUUCUGCCCAUUUUUUGAUGGGGUUGUUUGUUUUUUUGGUAUGGAGCUACAGAAGGUAUUUAUAAAUUUUGGAGAUGAAUCCCUUGUCAGUCACUUCAUUUGCAAAUAUUUUCUCCCAUUCUGUGGGUUGUCUUUUUGUUUUGUUUAGGGUUUCCAGGCUAGGGGUCCAUUCAGAGCUGUUGCUGCCAGCCUACACCUCAGCCACAGCAACGCCAGAUCCGAGCCACGACUGCAACCUAUGACCUACACCACAGCUCACGGCAAUGCCGGAUCCCUAACCCACUGACCGAGGCCAGGGAUUGAACCCGAAACCUCCUGGUUCCUAGAUGGAUUUGUUUCCACUUGCCACGACGGGAACUCUGUCAAUGAGUAUUUUUGAGCCAUGGUUCCACACCACUCACUUUAUUAACAUCAGUGAUAAAAAAGUGAACAUAACAAAUUUCUACCCUCAGGGCAUUCAUGGUCCAUCAUAAGCCUGAUUAUUUAUAAUUAUAUAGAUUCCCCUCUUUCUAAAUUGUGCUGGCAUUUGUAUUCUGUUUCAUUCAACUUUGCAUUUGCACUUCAUGUUCUCCAUGUAGGGAGGUAGAGUAUAAAAAAGAUAAAAAGCUUGGUGUCUCAGAUCAGAUGGAAUCUUUGACUAUUGAUUGAGUCAUUGAAAUGUGUCUAUGCAAAAAAAAAUUGAAUUUUUAAUCUUAUUUAAUUUUAAUUAAACUCAAUAGCCUCAUGUGGCUAGUAACUAACAAAUUGGACAGUGCAGCAAUAGACUCUGAGUUCAAUCCAAACCUUGCUGCUUACUAGCUGUGGUAUCUCAAACAAGUUACCUUACCCUUUUUAAGCCUAUAAAAUAGGGGUUGUAAUUCUAACUGCAUCAGAAGGUUGUUUUGAGGUUUAAAUGAGAUAAUAAAGUUAAUAUUCUUUGGCACAGUGCCUAGUAAACAAAUAAGCAAUCAUACAAUAUCAAAUAUCCUGUUAGUGAUAGUUUCUUGUAUUCUAUUACUCACUUAGUAUUUACCAUAGAGCAAAGCAUAAACAGCCUCAGAACAGGGACUGUAUUUGUUACGUUUUAGUCAUUCAUGACACGAAACAUAAUAAUGAUGACAUAGUAGUGGCUCAAUAAAAUAUAACUGAUUCUUUUUUUAGCCUACUUUAUUAGCCUUUCAGUUACAUUAUUAAAUGAGUGCAGGAGUAAUUUUGUCAUAAGUAAUGAUUUUAGACACAAUUUCUAGGCUAUCGUCAUAUAUAAAUCAUUUCUGCAUUUUCCUUUAUAUGAGUGUGACCAUGACAGAAUUGUGUUUCAGAAGUCAUGUUGUGUUGAAUUUAUAUUGAAUUCCCUGAUGAUACAGCAAUUGAUAUAUUCUGAAUCAAAAAAAAAAAGAAUGAAAAGAAGAUGAGAAAUGCCAUUGUUUUUCAUCUGUCUUCCCCAUAGAUGUUUGAUAUGUUAAUGAGUAUAAAUGAGAAAACUAAGACUUCUUUUUUUAAAUUGAAGUAUAGCUGACUUACAAUGUUGAGUUAGUUUCAGGUCUAUAGCAAAGUGAUUCAGUUUCAUGUGAGUUUACAUAUAUCUAUUCUUUUUCAGAUUCUUUUCCAUUAUAGAUUAUUACAAGAUACUGACUGUAGUUCCCUGUACUAUCCAGUAGGUCUUUGUUAUUUACCCACUUUAUGUAUAGUAGUGAUAUCUGUUUAUCCCAAACUCUUUAAUUUAUCCCUGUCUCCCUCUCCCUUUCCCCUUUGGUAACCAUAAGUUUGUGUUCUAUGUAAGACUCAUUUUAAAUAACUCAUAUAAAUUACUUGCCCAAGAUCAUACAACUAAUAAAUGGCAAAGGCAGAAUUUGAUCCUGAUUUCUCAGACUCGACGUCCAUACACUGUUCUGAUAUUCAUAAUGAAGUCUUGUGGUUUCCCCCUAAUGAGUCAAUGUUACCAGAGAGUCAAGAGAUGAAAUAUUAUUUCUAGCACAUGGAAGCCACCCCUUUCUGCUCUUCCUUUUGUGAGCAAGGAGACCUUUAUUUGAGGGAAUGGUUUUGGUGCCAGAAUGGUCUGAAUUCCAGAGUCAUUCCUUGUAGACACCCUAAAACAGGAGGACUAUGUAAUCACAGGACUGGUUUCUGAUUCUGUAAAUGUUGCUCUCUGUAGGACCCCAGUAGUACUUCUGAGAGUGUCUGUGUAGAAUAUUACUACACUUUCCUAGAAAUGGUUUGCAUCGGAGUUCUGGUCGUGGUGCAGUGGAAAUUAAUCUGACUAGGAACCAUGACGUUGAGGGUUUGAUCCCUGGCCUCACUUGGGAGGUUAAGCAUCUAGCGUUGUCAUGAGCUGUGGUGUAGGUUGCAGACGUGGCUCAGAUCCGGCGUUGGUGUGGCUGUGGUGUAGGCCAGCAGCUGUAGCUCCGAUUCAAUUCCUAGCCUGGGAACCUCCAUGUGCUGCGGAUGCAGCCCUAAAAAGACAAAAAAAUGAAAUGGUUCGAAUCAAGUUGGAGCUGCUCAGAUUUCUGAACAGCACCCCUUCCGUGUAGGAUCUCACAGGCGAUUGUUUAGCAGAAGAGACUGCCAGUGCUUAGCAUCUGUCCCGAGAGGCCGUCCAGGCCAUUGUCUGAGGAUUUCAUUUUCUGUUGGUAGCAUUACGUCCAUGCUUUGCAGUCAUCAGGUCUGAAUUUGUGGUCUAUGAACAAAUGCAUUUCUCAACGAUUGCAUGUAUGUCUGUAGGUCUCCCCGGAAGUCCUUCAUUAGGGUCUGUAGGGGAUAGUGUAGACAAAUAAAGCCCCACUAACGGUGACAAAGUAGAAGGAACAGCGAUGCAAUGCAAACACCAUAUGCCCAGGAAAUAUCAGAGAAUCUGCUGGUUAUCUCACAAAUCUUUACCUAUCUGGUUAUGUGCUCCAGCAGAGGACACCUACCAAAAGUUUCGUUAAGGCAGAAAAGAGCAAACUCCCCCCGGUUUUUACAAAUAAUUCUACUUCUCUUUUAAUGCCACUCGGGAAGUGGCCUCUUUGAAGGUUCCGCAGCUCAUAAAGCUGGAACUUCUUCCCUUCCCCACCUUCCUUACUUAACUUGCCGUCACAGAAGCUAACUAGCAGCCGUAGUUAAUGCAUCGAUUUUAGCUGGAGACCCAGAAGGAGCAAGUGCUGGAGUCAGCGGAACUCUUAAACAGUCCUCGGAGACCAGAGUCAUUUGCACAUUGGAAAACAGCUAAUGGGCCAGGGAAGCAGAGGUUAGUUGCAGGGUCUUUGCUGUGUCUCCUUUCCGUCACAGUGGGAGAGAUCACUGCUAAAGAAAAAAAGAAAGAAAGAAAAAAAAAGUCUUCUAACCAAGGAAUCUGUACCUUAUUCUUGUUCUUUAUUUUCACUUUCCUUUUUCUUCAGGGCUGGAUAUUUUAAAGAAAUUCAGAGCUGAGGGGAGUAGAGGGAAAAAUGAUGAAAAAUGAUGAAUCCUUAGUUUCUUUUGACAUGGCAAAAUUCCCAUAGGUAGUGUGAUGCCUUACAAAGGCAUGGCCUUCGUACAUGGGCAAAGUAAAGAGAACAGAGGUGGGCCUGAAGACGGGUCGUUCGACAAAGCCUACGGAGAUCAUGGAAUUUGCUAAUAGACAACCCUGAGUGGCUGUUAGGUAGCUAGUCACUCCCAAGGCUCUUCGUCUCUCCAGCCUCAGUUUGUUGUUCCAUAAACUAGUGAUCGUGAAAAUGACGCCUACCCUCCAGAGCGGGCUGUAAGGAUUAAAUAACGUGUUCAGAUACUUAGCACAACAUCUGACAGUUAUCAGUCCUUGGUAAAUGUUAGCUGUUAUUAUUAUCGCCGUCACCACUCUUAUUCUGUUGUCCAGGUGUUCAGGAUGCUGCCUCGCUAAACCAAAAACAGAUCCGUUCUGCUUGGUCUCAAAUGUCAUCUCUCUGGAAUGUUUUUUUUUUUUUUCCCUCCAGAGUGACCAAGUGCUGUGCUCACAGCAGGUUUGGGUCGUCUUUACACUGCUGCUCUCUGUGACUUACUGGGGUCAGAGGUCCCCAGUAAUGCUCUGUGUGACUCCAGCCUAAGACCCUUUCCUGUGGGCAUGAGAUCUGAAGGUGACAAGCAGGGUCAGCAGAACCUGCCAGACCCGUCCGUGGGUGGUGGGGGGGACGUGACACAAGUCUGUCACAGACUGGAAACAAAUGCCCUUGCCGCCACGGCAUCACUUCUCAUCCAGAUCAGGGCUAGCUUUUUCCAAAGUGCAAUUUAUGGCAGCUGUAGUUCCUUUUGGAUAUGCUCAUGUGUUCAUUCACUUCCAGCUUUUCAGGAUAAAUAAUAUAUGAGUCGUGAGUGAAGAAGGCUUUUGCCUCCACCUGGAACUUUUAAGAACCAUGCCAUCCCUUAAAAACUGUGCUGUUUUAGGGUUCUUGUUUCUGUGGUUUCAGGUGUCUGAACACCUUGGGUUUAAGGUUGUGGGAUGCUGGGAACCGGCAGGUUCUUUACGUGUCUCCCCCAAAUUCUACCUCACAGCCGUUAUUCCAGCAGGACGAGCAGAGUCCAAGUUGCUUCUGCGUAGGAAUGUUGAUUCUAAUCUUGAUUCCCCCCGCUUCCUCUCUGUUAUUGACCUUAGAACAUCAAAUCAGCAGCAGCAUCUCAGAGCUCGUACGGCACCUGUAAGCUUCAGUAGGUGUGCCCUCGGUGCAUAUCUCCUGGCAGUGGUUUCAGACCCAGAGAAUGGUUGGAAGGUUUGGCAUGGCGAGAAAGAGGAAGCAAAGAGGAAAGGAGAGAGGAGAGAGAAAGGAAGAGAAACAAAAACAGAAAAACCGACUCCCCUAGUGCAAAUGACCUGAGUUCUCUGCUUUAACUUGCUUUCUUUAAUGCAGUUGCCUUUCUGUCUCCCGGUAUACCCUGGUAAACCAGCAGAAGAAUGCUGAUGAGACCAGACUCUCUCCCUCUACACCACCCCCGCCCCCAUUUCCUUUUGGGGUAAGAGGAAACCCAAAAAGUUUGUCCUUUUACUUAGUGCCAUCCUUGAAUAAGAAACUAGUCCCCUGCCCCUGGCGAGGGGCCGGCGGGGGGAACCUGGUUACUAGGUGGAUACACUGCCUGACCAGCUAUUCCUGUGUCUGCUUGCCUCUAAUUAAAGUACUUGCUAUGAGCGAUUUUUAAGCACCGGAGCUUAAUGAAGUUAGAAAAAGGAUUUAGAUGCAGUUUGUGAAGACUUCAAAUUGUUUGCGUUUUUUCUCUCGGGAGAACUGUUAAAGUCUGGAGGCAUUUUGAAUUACUUACAAUGUAUUCCAUUUUGUUCUUUUAAAAAUGUCUCUUUUAGCCUGUGCAUAGCUGGGAAAAAAAAAAAAAAAA
This 6635-nucleotide long non-coding RNA is filed under the name Sus scrofa (pig). RNAcentral's name for it is "lncRNA (ENSSSCG00040039894.1)". Lineage: Eukaryota; Metazoa; Chordata; Mammalia; Artiodactyla; Suidae. The record is from RNAcentral.